GCUUCGAGGUAUUUCGCCUCCGAGUCUAGAGUUUAUUGGAGCUAUUUGGUCUUGCAGUGAGAGAGGUAAGGAAGGUGGGAACACCACUAUCCUGGUGGACCUUCCGGCUGUAUGGAGGCGUCGAUGGUGCCGGAGGAAGUGAAGAUGCUGAUGACUCAGGUAUGUAACGGAAUGGUGCAGGCCAUGGGAACUGGGGAAUGACAACUGGUGAAAAGAGGGGAUUGAUGAUGCUGAUGAUAAAGUCUGUUGCAACUGCGAAACAGGCGGAUGGAGAUGAAGUGCCAUAUUCUGAGGAGAACAAAGAUAGCGAGGAUGGUGUUUGGUGAACUCGACGCAGAGAAGACGAUUUGCAUAAUCUUUGUAGGGUUCAUACAAGGACACAAGAAGAUGGGAAAAAAAUGCUGAUCAGGAUCGAUGAGCAAUAAGGUAUAUACUGUUACUGCUUAUCAGCUUUGAUCAUUGUAGCAGCAUUCUCGUAUGCUCUUUUUGGCGGAUAAGAGUAUGUCCUCAAUAGUCCAUGAGCAUUACAAAGUUUCUUAAGCCGACAGUUCAGGUGGCCAUGGGAGGGGGCGAGGUGGUUCUGGACACAAUGGAUUUCGUUUUAACUUACACAGCUGCUACUGCAGCCUGUUGAGGAUCCUGGACAGUUAGCCACAGGAAUGAUCAAGUGCCACAAAAUUGUGCCCAUCUUUUACUAUCCGGAGUUGGAGCUAUUACUGAUGAUGAUGUGUAGGUCUUACAGUAAUUGUCACAAUCUUCCCACUUGUAUGGUUUUGUCAUUCUUGGACUUUCUAAUUAUCCAUCAUCUUCCUCAGACGACCUCCAUCAUCCUUUGAAUUAGAUCAAUAGUUGUUACGUGAUCUUUUCCGUAAUUUUCUGCAAUGUGGACAAUCUUGUAGCAUUUCAUCAGUCACUAAGAGAUGCUACAAAUUCUCAGUUCUAUUAUAAGGUUUCCCCGUAGGAUGUGGUAUAAUUAGGUAGAUUUCUCUCUUUCCUGAGGCUGUGCAUGCAGCACUAACUUUGGAUCGCACAAGAGUCACCAUAUGUUUGUGGCCUCGUACGAUGUGGAGUCCCGUCUGCGGUCAGGUAUCCGAUCAAACACCUGGCGAGCAUCCCCCACGGGAGAGCAUCUCCGGCAGCUUAUUCUUGGUCCUGAAGUCGGCAUGGGAAAGUGUCACUUGACGGAUCUUUUACUUCAUCCACCCAACAGAUCAAGUCAUGUGGAAAUGAGUUGAAGCACCCAAAUCUCUGCUAUUGCUCUGUUGGCCAAAGAGAAGCAAAUUGCAAGGAAUUCGUUCUUCGAGCGGCGGAGACACGAAUCUGCUGCUUUCGCAAAAUUUCAGGUGACAUUGCAAGAAAAGCAAAGGAGAAGAACAAGUUCUUGCCCUCCUUCCAAUCCUUCAGACCCUUAAACCUUGCAACUUACGCUGUGUGCAGGGCGAAGCACACUGCCGCUAUUGGCUCUCCACUCAUGACUAGAUAUCGAUGGAACAAUCCGCACCAAAAAGAUAUGAUGUGCUUCCACCUGAUCAGGUGUCAAUGAAGACUUGGAAGCUUGCACCUCAUGCAACUGAGCUGGAUCCAUUUUGUUCCACAACUCGAGUGUCAAACAAUGCUGCGUCUCACAUGGUUGUUCAUAAUGAUCCAUCUACCAUCAGAAGGCACAAGGAAAACACAAGUGAAGGAUUGGAAACAGAGGGGUCCCCCUGUCCUCUCCAUGUUUCUUUCUUUAAUGCAGUGGGACACAACCGGGCAUCCCCUCUCUGCCAACAUCUCUCUUCCAAGCUUAGCAUGACAGGUGUGAUGGGUAAAGCAGCAAAGUCACCAACACGUCUCCAAAGGCUACAGGCUUUGAGCUGCUUUGUCUACUUUUAUCUUCUUCCCCCUCCGGCUUUCUUUUUUUUCCCUUUUUACUGUGAGAAGUUGGGAGGUAAGCAUAGUAUGCAGCUCUGCUUGUCGUAACAAUUGAAGCAUCAUUUCAGCAGAGGAAUGAAAGCAAGCACAGAUGACAUGAGGUAGUAGUAGUAGCUGGCCAUCAUUUGCAGCGACUCUGUUGGCAUUAUGUAUCAGAGGCCAAAGAAGAAUUGGCAAGUGAUUCAGUGAGUACAUUGGUCAAAAUAAGGCCGGGGAAGUAGUGUCACAUGAUUCCAGCGGAGGGCACCUACAUGCUUUGUCCCUACUUCACUUGGUAGAGCGAGGAUGAACAGGACUUGGAACAGUGGUGAGAUCUGCAGGUUUUUACAGUGAGGUUGACAAUUUUUACACCAAUAGACUUGCAAGUUCAUAGAAACUUUGGAGUUCCUACAUGCUCUAAUCACAGAGAGUUGGUAAAGGAUAUUGAUGUCAUUUAGAACAGUCAGAAGUUAGACUGAUGGAGAUCAAGCAUAAUGAUACAUGCAUGUAGUAAAGUCUCA
Long non-coding RNA from Musa acuminata AAA Group (dessert banana), 2414 nucleotides. RefSeq lists it as uncharacterized. NCBI's taxonomy places the organism in Eukaryota, Viridiplantae, Streptophyta, Magnoliopsida, Zingiberales, Musaceae. The transcript has 8 exons. The record is from RefSeq and is a predicted model, not a curated record.